CUCUUUGCAGGAGGCAGUUAUGAGACGUGAAGAUGAGUAUCUUGUAAAGAGGGAUAGGAGAAUUGGAGGGCAAGUUUGGUGCCAGCAGCCGCGGUAAUACCGACUCCAAGAGUGUGUAUGAGAGAUGCUGCAGUUAAAAAGUCCGUAGUCAUAGAAGGGCAAAGAGAGAUGCGAGGUCUCACAGUGCGAUGAUGGAGGAGCCGAUGGGGAACAUAGUAUACCAGGGCGAGAGAUGAAAUGCCAAGACCCCUGGUGGACUGAGCGAGGCGAAGGCGAUGUUCUUGUAGGCAUUCGGUGAUCAAGGACGAAGGCUGGAGUAUCGAAAGUGAUUAGAUACCGCAGUAGUUCCAGCAGUAAAAGAUGCCGACAUGCUCAUUGGACACAGUGGGCAGGGAGAAAUCUUAGAGUUCGGGCUCUGGGGAUAGUAUGCUCGCAAGGGUGAAAAUUAAAGAAAUUGACGGAGCUACACCACAAGGAGUGGAUUGUGCGGCUUAAUUUGACUCAACGCGAGGAAACUUACCAGGGCCAAGUAUUGUGUAGAAACGAGCAAUACAGGAGUGGUGCAUGGUCGUUGGAAAUUGAUGGGAUGACUUUGACCUUAAAUGGUUGAAUGAGUGAGAUCUUUUGGACAUGUUCCGCACGGAACAGGAAGGAAAAGGCUAUAACAGAUCCGAGAUGCCCUCAGAUGCCCUGGGCUGCACGCGCAAUACAAUAGCAGGUAGAGAGAGAGACAGGAAGGUGCUCAGAUGGACUAUGUGCUGUAAGGCACAUACGAAAGAGGAAUCCUAGUAAGUGUGUAUCAACAAUGGAUA
RNAcentral lists this ribosomal RNA (812 nucleotides) under Vittaforma corneae. Its description in RNAcentral is "SSU rRNA". It matches the Rfam family "Microsporidia small subunit ribosomal RNA", at positions 309 to 1163 of the family's 1311-position model. The record is from RNAcentral. Lineage: Eukaryota; Fungi; Microsporidia; Nosematidae.